GACGAACGCUGGCGGCGUGCUUAACACAUGCAAGUCGAACGGAAAGGCCCUGCUUUUGUGGGGUGCUCGAGUGGCGAACGGGUGAGUAACACGUGAGUAACCUGCCCUUGACUUUGGGAUAACUUCAGGAAACUGGGGCUAAUACCGGAUAGGAGCUCCUGCUGCAUGGGGGGGGUUGGAAAGUUUCGGCGGUUGGGGAUGGACUCGCGGCUUAUCAGCUUGUUGGUGGGGUAGUGGCUUACCAAGGCUUUGACGGGUAGCCGGCCUGAGAGGGUGACCGGCCACAUUGGGACUGAGAUACGGCCCAGACGCCUACGGGAGGCAGAAGUGGGGAAUCUUGCACAAUGGGCGGAAGCCUGAUGCAGCAACGCCGGGUGCGGGAUGACGGCCUUCGGGUGGUAAACCGCUUUCGCCUGUGACGAAGCGUGAGUGACGGUAAUGGGUAAAGAAGCACCGGCUAACUACGUG
Molecule: ribosomal RNA, 468 nt
Filed under: uncultured bacterium
Lineage: Bacteria
Description: partial 16S ribosomal RNA
Rfam family: Bacterial small subunit ribosomal RNA
Source: RNAcentral